Molecule: ribosomal RNA, 562 nt
Filed under: uncultured fungus from ectomycorrhizal root
Lineage: Eukaryota; Fungi
Description: eukaryotic LSU rRNA
Rfam family: 5.8S ribosomal RNA (bases 195-348)
Source: RNAcentral
UCAUUAUCGUACCACGAAGGCACCGGGGCUGUCGCUAACUUUUCAAAGUCGUGCACGCCCAAGUGCUCUCGCACACGUCCAUCUCACCCCUUGUGCAUUGCUGCGUUGGGCUCCCUUCAAAGGGGGUCUUGCGUUUUAACACACAGACACCAGUAUAGAAUGUCCUUCUUUGUGCGAUCGUGCGCAAUCAAUACAACUUUCAACAACGGAUCUCUUGGCUCUCGCAUCGAUGAAGAACGCAGCGAAAUGCGAUACGUAAUGUGAAUUGCAGAAUUCAGUGAAUCAUCGAAUCUUUGAACGCACCUUGCGCCCCUUGGCAUUCCGAGGGGCACACCCGUUUGAGUGUCGUGAACGUCCUCAACCUUCUUGGUUUCUUGACCGAGAAGGCUUGGAAUUUGGAGGUUUUUGCUGGCCUCCCUGGAAGCCAGCUCCUCUUAAACGAAUUAGUGGGGUCCGCUUUGCUUCGAUCCUUGACGUGAUAAGAUGCUUCUACGUCUCGGUCCUUGCUCGGGAACCCGCUUCUAACCGUCUCUUAGGAGACUCUUUACACAACCUUGACCUC